CAGAGGGUGCGAGCGUUAAUCGGAUUUACUGGGCGUAAAGCGUGCGUAGGCGGCUUUUAAGUCGGAUGUGAAAUCCCCGAGCUUAACUUGGGAAUUGCAUUCGAUACUGGGAAGCUAGAGUAUGGGAGGGGAUGGUAGAAUUCCAGGUGUAGCGGUGAAAUGCGUAGAGAUCUGGAGGAAUACCGAUGGCGAAGGCAGCCAUCUGGCCUAAUACUGACGCUGAGGUACGAAAGCAUGGGGAGCAAACAGGAUU
RNAcentral lists this ribosomal RNA (253 nucleotides) under uncultured bacterium. Its description in RNAcentral is "partial 16S ribosomal RNA". It matches the Rfam family "Bacterial small subunit ribosomal RNA", at positions 526 to 779 of the family's 1533-position model. The record is from RNAcentral.